AUUAGUUUAAGGUUUUUAUGCAUUUUGAUAUAAUGUUAUUCUAUAAAAUGUUUAUCAAUUUAUACUCACAUCCAUACAAGGUAUUAUCUCUCUUUUAAAUUUUUGAAAAGCUGAUAGUUAAAAUCUUGUCAACUUACCUGUAUUUCUUCCGUUAUCUAUGCUGAUUUUUUUUCAUAUUCAUUAGUCAUGUAUCUUUUGUGUAUGUGAAUCAUUGGAGCAAGUCCUUUAUCAUUGUUAUGCCUGGAGUGUUUGCUUUUUGUUGUUUUGAAGGAAGCUUUUACAUAGGAAGAAAUUGAAGCCUUUGUCAUGCAUUUUACAAUAUUAAGAUAAAUUUCCAAUGGUCUUUUAUUUUUUUGUAUUUCUCUCAGACAGGCUCCCAUAAAAGCAAAGCUUUAUUUUUUGGGAAUUGUUUUUAAAUAAAACAAGAAAUUAAAGUCUUCAUAUUUCCACCAUUUAGCAUGCAACCUUCUUAACACCAAUGUGUACAUUCCAGACCUUUCCUACGUUUUUGUUAUAAAAUUGGAUUGUAGUAUACUUUCUUUUUGUUAUGUGCUUUUUC
RNAcentral lists this long non-coding RNA (559 nucleotides) under Marmota monax (woodchuck). Lineage: Eukaryota; Metazoa; Chordata; Mammalia; Rodentia; Sciuridae. The record is from RNAcentral.